AGGGGCGGGGCUCCUCCUGGAGGCGCCCUCGCUCGCUCUCUAAUGUCAGCCGGCUUCGAAGUCGGCCUAGAUCUGCGCGUGCGCCCAACUCGGUGCCCGGCCCAGCGCCAGGCGAGGGGCGACGCCUCGAGGUAAAACGUAGGAGGUGCGAGAGGCGGACCCGGCACGGCCCACUAGUCCCGGAGGGCGCAGGCUCCUGGCCGUGCGGCGGGUGCAAUGGCGGAGGAGCAGGUGAACUGCAGCGUGGAGACGCACACCGACUGUAAGGCAACGGCGGCUGCAGUGCCCACGGCGUCGUCAACGGACGCCUCCGAGGUCACCGCAAAGUCACCGGAGCACGAGCACUAUGACAGCAAGUGCGUGUUCUGCCGAAUCUCGAGGCAGGAGGAAGCCGGCGUCGAACUCCUGCCCUGCGAGAAUGAAGACCUAGUUUGCUUCAAAGAUAUCAAACCAGCAGCACCUCAUCAUUAUCUUGUGGUGCCAAAGAAACAUAUUGGAAACUGCAGAGAUCUAAAGAAAGAUCACAUAGAAUUGGUUGAGAAAAUGGUAACUGCUGGAAAAACUGUUCUUGAAAGGAAUAAUUUCACUGACUUCACAAAUGUAAGGAUGGGUUUCCAUGUACCGCCAUUCUGUUCCAUUUCCCACUUGCACCUUCAUGUUAUGGCACCCGUCAGUCAGUUUGGCUUCUUAUCCAAGUUGGUUUAUAGAGUCAAUUCCUAUUGGUUUAUCACAAAGUGGGAUUCAAGCUAGAACUUUGAGUGACCCCCAGGACAUCGAGUGACCAAGUGAAGUGCCCACAGGACCCAUUGAGUCCCAUUGGGUCCACUGCUCUCUUGCAGCAACUGGGGGCUGUGGCUCUUUACAAAGAAUUAUAAUCCUAAAGUAUUGUGAAGACAAGGAGUUUCAUGGAAAGGAUGGAAAGGACUCUGACAAGUACAGAUUUCUGAUAACCUUAGGUUAUGCCAUUGCACUAGAUAAGAAUUUCCAGAACUCGAAGAAAUUGACUGGCUUAUAAAGCUACUAACCACCAUCAAGCAGGACAAGAAUUAAUUAAAUACCAAGGAAAUACGUUGGCAGAUUUUCAUGCUAAGUUAGCAUGUACUGAAAUUUAAGAUAUGCAGUUUGAAUGAAUUCUGUGAUCAAAGUCAGAUUACCUUUCAUAAGUCAUUCAAUAAAUAGUGCUAUGCACCUGAAUUGGAGAAAAAAAAUUGGUAUUUAAGAAGAUAUAAAUCCAGUGUUAAAUAUGGACUCAUAAAUAGCCUGGUUGGCCAUCUGGUCCUUUCUAAAUUCAUAAAGCUUUGUUAUUAAAAGUUCUAUACUCCAAGACUCAUUGUGAAAGAAAGAAAAUGAUCCAAAUUAUGGGGGAAAAAUUGGUGGGGUGACUAUUCUAAAAUUGCUAGAAUGGUUUAUGACCAGUGUUUGGUUUGUUAAACCCAUAAUCCUGAGAAGAUAGUCAGAACUUCAGGUACAAUUUCUGUUGUCUGAUGGGCCAUUUGACCAUUUACAGAGGGAUUUCAUUCAGUUUCCAUUUUCAAAACAUGUCUUCUGGUUAUAUAAAAGCUUUCCCAUACAAGAAGGCCAAUGAUGCAACAGUCGCUAAAAGUUUAUUAGGAAAUACAUUUCUCUCAUGGGACAUUCCUGGAGAAUCUCCAGUGAUAGAGAUAUUUGUUUCACUAGACAAGUUAUGAAACAGUUAAAUAAGGUACUACAGAUACAAUAGCUUUAGCCAAAGCUAACUGAAUUGGCUGGAUUGCUUUGGUCAAAGGUAUUGUAGAUUGAUGACAAUUAAAGUCUCCUUCCAGUGGAAAACCUAAGUUGACCCCUUAGGAAAUAGUCACUGGAAGGUUCAUACCCUAAAAAUAGAACUGCAUGUAUCUCCUGCUCUCCUAAGCUCUGAUAUGACUAAAUGCUGCAAGGCUUUAAUGUAUUAUACCAAAGUACAUUUUCACCAGAGAGAGGAAGCUUUUUAUGAUCCACCAACUGAGUACAAUGAAACCCUUCAUGAUGUAGAACCCUGAGGUUGGAUCUUCUGGAAAUGAUAUCAGAGAAAGACUCCCCUUGCCACCUACAAUGCAACAAAACUUUGGGACCUUGAGCCUUGGCUCCAUAUCUGAAAACUCGAAAGGGACUGUUACACCAUUGGAGACCCUCAGGUAAAGCUAAACAGGGAAGUUUCUCCCCAGAAGCAGGCAGCAUCCUGGAUGUGGACAGCUUUCCCAAGAUCACAGAUUAAGACUUCUCUGCCAUCAUGAAACUCUUACUUUUCUUAAUUUUUUCUUACUUACGCUAUCUUUUUCACUUGGAAGAAUAAUACUGUAAUUAGAAUUUUACAAUCAGUAGCUUCUGUGGGUAACAUGACAGAGUAUUGGAUUUGUCAUACCAAAUACAGAUCUUCGCAUGACCUAGGGGAUUCAUUGGUUUACCCAGUGGGUAACUCUGGCAAUAUCCCUAAUGUAACUGUUGUUCAAAUUGUACUAGUGGUAAGAUUUCUGGACCUUGUUUUAACUUAAUCCAGUGUCUUGGUCUGUUUUCUGUUGCUUCUAACAGAGUAGGUGAAACUGGGUAAUUUAUAAGGGAAUGAAAUUUAUUUCUUACAGUUUCAGAGGCUGGGAAAUCCACAGAUGAGGGGUCAUAUCUGGUGAGGGCCUUCUUCUGGGUGGCAGCUCUCUAUAGUGUCCCGUGACAAUGCAGGGUAUCACAUGGUGAGGAAAAGUCUCUCAUGUGCUCUUAUAAAGCCACCAGUCCACAUCCAUCAUAACUCAUUAUUCUAUUAAUGGAUUAAUCCAUUCAUGAGAGCAUAGUCUUCAUGAUCCAACCACCUCUUAAAGUUCUCAUCUUUCCAAUAUCAUAAUUGGAUUUUCUACCCUCUUAAACCUAUUACAGUGGAGAUCAUGUUUCCAACAAAUGAACUUUUGGGAGACACAUUUGACCCAUAGCACCCUGCAAUGGUGGUAUCCAAAAACCACGACCAAUGAGUAUAUCACGAGGCAGAUUUACACCGAAAGCCCAAAUGGAGUUCCUUGCAAGUGGAUUCAUGUGCUAGGGAACUAAAGUCCUCUUUUAACCUGUAAUAACUUUGCCUCAGAUCUUGGCUAGAAACUGCUAAUUUCACCAUUCCAAGUAACGUAUCCACGAACAACACCACCAGCACCUCAGGGCCCUGGACCCCCCCCCCCCCCCACACACACAACCAGGCACACCACCAGCGCCAAGGAGCAUGCCAAAAAUAUCACCUCCAUGUUUGGGGCCCACCACAGCCACCACAGUAACCACGGCUGCCACAAAAGUGGCUAGACAUCACAACCACCACACAGAUGGUCCACCAGCCACUGGAGUGCAUUGACACAAGGAGAGUCACCAGCAGAGACCAAAGAAAAGAAGAGGAUGUUUCUCCAAAGCCCAUUACAGAGUGAUAGAAGAAGCAUCUGCUUACGAUAGUGUUGGGGGACCUGAACACACCUGUCAGCAUUGAACAGAUCAUAUAGGCAACAAAUCAACAGAGUAACCAUUAUUCUUUCAGAGGGAUAGAAGUAAUCUAGGGUUAUCAGUGGUGGGGGGGGAUAGGGAGAGAUUGGACAAGGAACAUAAAGCAUAAGUACAUUUUGUAACACUAUACAUACUAGUAAUAUUGAUUUGAUCAACACAUGUCAACAUUGAAUCCCAAAAGUAUGUAUAAUCAAUCAUGAUUCAAUUAAAAAAAAAUGUAUCCAUGACCAAUAGAAGUGGAAAAGCGACCUUGUGUGCACCCAUGGUAUUAUACUUUUAUUUGCAGAGGAUUUCGCAGCCAACCUUACACAUGGUCAUUAUUUAUAAGGAGAUAUUUAUAUAUAUAUAUGCACACACACACAUAUACAUACAUACAUAUAUAUGGUUUGGAGUAAAUGUAAAUGAGGCAAUAUUUAGAAAAUUAUCCCUUAUAGUAGACUCUAUAGUAGGUUCCACUGCAAAGGCUAUGAUUGUGCAACAGACUUCUUUAAAUUCUCUUACUAAAGUUGUAAUAGGCAAUAGAAUUUCUCUAGAUUACCUACUGUCUGAACAGGGAAGAAUCAGUGCAGUUGCUGACACUCUUCUUGCACAUGGAAAAAUCCAUCAGGCAUUAUAGAGACUUAGUUGCAGAGGAUUAACAAACAGCCUGCUUGGUUAAAAUGGGCAGAUUCUUCAUCUGUCUCAUUCUUUGACCUAUUUGAUUUUGGUUGGUUUGGUUCAUGAUACCCUGGCUAAGGAGUAUACUCCAAACUCUUGGUGUUAUCAUCCUGCUAGCCAUAAUAGUAGUCUCCCUUGUACGCUGUAUUCUCUCAAAAAUUUUUGCUAUUUGUGUGCAGCUAUCUGUAGAAUGUCAAAUGUCUCUCCUGAGGUGGAAUGACAAAAAGUCAAAGUAGUAUGUGAUCAGGAUGACACCAUAACCUAUGAAUGACAUUUUGAGACUGGAAACCCAAAAUUAUGAAAACCGAAAGUAGUGCUAAUUCCCUGUGUUUUAGUCACACUCUUAUCUAGGUGAUAAUCUGACCAAAAGGGGGAGGACAUUGUCUUGGACUGAGCUCCUGCACUCAUACCCAACAGAUCAGACUAAACCGAAAUGGAGUCACUCAUGCUAAGGCCACAUAAUCAAACUCAAACUUUAAGGAAGCAGAUAGAUCUCAAAACAGAUCAGUUUUUUUCUCCCUAAAACAGAAGACUCCAGCAUAAGGAAGUCCCCUAUGCUGUAACCAUUACCCAAAAAAGUAACCUAAAGUAACCUGAUUCUUUUUUAUUUAUUUAUUUAUUUUUAAAUUUUAAUUUAUCAAUAUACAAUGUAGUUGAUUUUCCUGUCCCUUUACAAAUACUUCCUUUUCCUCCCUCCCUCUCUACCCUCUCCCUCAUCAACAUCGUAUCUGUAAUCUGAUGUUAACCAGUUUUUUUUUUUUCCUAUUGUUUCCUUGCUCCCACCUUAUAAAACUCACUGUUCUGCUAUUUCCCAGUGGGAUUUGAGUCCAAAUAAGUCCAUUUCUGAUGGUGACAGUAUGACGUCAGUAUCUAAAGCUUUAAAAGGGGGCAAUUGUUAAAUUAAGUUUGGCCUAAAGGUUUCUUAGGAUAUAGUGAACUGUAAUCUAAUUUGGUGUGUAAACAGACUGUAAUCCACUCUUAUAACAAGUAGUCAAAUCUCAACUAAAUACAGGCAAACAACUGUUCAAACUGUGUUCAAAUGAGGCAAUCACCCAGCUGUAACCAAUCCAGCUGUUUCUGUAUCUCACUUCUGUUUUCUGUAUGUCACUUUCCCAUUUCUGUCUAUAAAUCUUACUGAACAUGUGACUGCUGUGGAGUUGCUCUGAACCUAUUCUGGUUCCGAUUUGCAAGUCAUUUUUUGCUCAGUUAAACUCUGGUAAAUUUAAUUUGUCUAAAGAUUUUCUUUUAACAUUUACCAGGCUAUUUUAUGUUUUCAUUUUGAUAAGGUGACCUAUAGUUGCUAUAUCUGAAUGAUAUCAAAUAGUAUUUACCAUUUGUUAAUGAAUGGUAUUCUAGUCAUAGUACAGAAGAAAUUAAGCAUCUGAUUUC
RNA transcript from Cynocephalus volans (Philippine flying lemur), 5532 nucleotides. It is a transcript of the gene named histidine triad nucleotide binding protein 3, with no coding region annotated. NCBI's taxonomy places the organism in Eukaryota, Metazoa, Chordata, Mammalia, Dermoptera, Cynocephalidae. The transcript has 6 exons. The record is from RefSeq and is a predicted model, not a curated record.